RNAcentral lists this ribosomal RNA (241 nucleotides) under uncultured bacterium. Its description in RNAcentral is "partial 16S ribosomal RNA". It matches the Rfam family "Bacterial small subunit ribosomal RNA", at positions 93 to 334 of the family's 1533-position model. The record is from RNAcentral.
GACCGGCGCACGGGUGAGUAACGCGUAUCAAACCUGCCUUACACUCUUGGACAGCCUUCUGAAAGGGAGAUUAAUACAAGAUGUUAUCAUGAGUAAGCAUUUUCGCAUGAUUAAAGGUUUACCGGUGUAAGAUGGGGAUGCGUUCCAUUAGAUAGUAGGCGGGGUAACGGCCCACCUAGUCUUCGAUGGAUAGGGGUUCUGAGAGGAAGGUCCCCCACAUUGGAACUGAGACACGGUCCAA